GUGCCCGCUCGGGCAGCACAUACACUAAAAUUGGAACAAUACAGAGAUUAGCGUGGCCUCUGCGCAAGUAUGGCAUGCAAGUGGUCCAUAGUAAAAAAAAAAAAAA
This 106-nucleotide small nuclear RNA is filed under the name Phocoena sinus (vaquita). The record is from RNAcentral. Lineage: Eukaryota; Metazoa; Chordata; Mammalia; Artiodactyla; Phocoenidae.